GAUUGAACGCUGGCGGGAUGCCUUACACAUGCAAGUCGAACGGCAGCGCGGACUUCGGUCUGGCGGCGAGUGGCGAACGGGUGAGUAAUGUAUCGGAACGUGCCCAGUAGCGGGGGAUAACUACGCGAAAGCGUAGCUAAUACCGCAUACGCCCUGAGGGGGAAAGCGGGGGAUCUUCGGACCUCGCACUAUUGGAGCGGCCGAUAUCGGAUUAGCUAGUUGGUGGGGUAACGGCUCACCAAGGCGACGAUCCGUAGCUGGUUUGAGAGGACGACCAGCCACACUGGGACUGAGACACGGCCCAGACUCCUACGGGAGGCAGCAGUGGGGAAUUUUGGACAAUGGGGGCAACCCUGAUCCAGCCAUCCCGCGUGUGCGAUGAAGGCCUUCGGGUUGUAAAGCACUUUUGGCAGGAAAGAAACGGCGCCGGCUAAUACCUGGCGUAACUGACGGUACCUGCAGAAUAAGCACCGGCUAACUACGU
This 484-nucleotide ribosomal RNA is filed under the name Bordetella sp. 'ARUP UnID 159'. Its description in RNAcentral is "bacterial SSU rRNA". It matches the Rfam family "Bacterial small subunit ribosomal RNA", at positions 27 to 506 of the family's 1533-position model. Lineage: Bacteria; Pseudomonadati; Pseudomonadota; Betaproteobacteria; Burkholderiales; Alcaligenaceae. The record is from RNAcentral.